Podarcis lilfordi (Lilford's wall lizard) is the source of this 76-nucleotide non-coding RNA. The record is from the annotation of a GenBank genome assembly. Lineage: Eukaryota; Metazoa; Chordata; Lepidosauria; Squamata; Lacertidae.
GGAAGGACUGUAGGCUCAGUGGUAGAGCGUCUGUCUUGCAAACAGACUCUUCCUGGUUCAAUCCUUGGUGUCUCCA